AGUACGAGUUGCAUUUCGAUACUCCGGUGGCUCCUCCCUUGGAGGUGUCGGCGGUGCUUUCGGUGUAUCUCGUCUAGCGUUGGGACGACGCAUGAGUGGUGAUUAGGAUACGUUUCCCAUGCAGGCUCCAUGUAAUUUGGCAUCGAACUGCUUGGGCCUAUCUAUUUCAUUUGAGGGUUCGCGUCGGCGUUUCCAUCGUCGGUCGCGACCACUUGUUGGGUUCCUGUGCUUGCUACUGAAUUUUGAAGCCGGAUGGAUUGUUGUUCCCCGUCAUGGUUUUUUGGUCCCCCUCCGCUUUGCGCGGCUGCGGUGGAUUUCGUGCGGGCAUCGAGGUUUUCCUUCCGAGCCGUUGUCCCCCUCCCUUUGGGCGCAUUCGGUUGAGAUGGAACGUCGAUGCUAGCGGCACUCUCGGGUACGGAGAUUUUGUGGCGAUCGCAUUGGGCUUCGGCCUUUGUGAUGGUAACGUAUCGAAGCUUUCUUGCUUCUGAUUGUAUGACCCUCGCGCUCGUCUAAGAGUUCACGGAGCAUCUUCGCUCGGUGUUCUUCUUGGGGAGCCGUCGAGGUCUGGAAAGGAAUGCUACCUGGUUGAU
This 590-nucleotide unclassified non-coding RNA is filed under the name Miconia macrosperma. Its description in RNAcentral is "Tococa macrosperma partial contains external transcribed spacer and 18S ribosomal RNA". Lineage: Eukaryota; Viridiplantae; Streptophyta; Magnoliopsida; Myrtales; Melastomataceae. The record is from RNAcentral.